AAAAAAUACUAUAGAGAU
RNAcentral lists this small RNA (18 nucleotides) under Arabidopsis thaliana (thale cress). Its description in RNAcentral is "ATSL185970". Lineage: Eukaryota; Viridiplantae; Streptophyta; Magnoliopsida; Brassicales; Brassicaceae. The record is from RNAcentral.